This 526-nucleotide ribosomal RNA is filed under the name Lyctocoris beneficus. RNAcentral describes it as "partial 16S ribosomal RNA". The stretch from base 382 to 526 matches the Rfam family "Bacterial large subunit ribosomal RNA", at positions 2473 to 2618 of the family's 2925-position model. Lineage: Eukaryota; Metazoa; Arthropoda; Insecta; Hemiptera; Lyctocoridae. The record is from RNAcentral.
GGGGGUUUUUUGUAUUUUAGUCUAACCUGCCCAUGAUUUAAUUUAAUGGCCGCAGUAUCUUAACUGUGCAAAGGUAGCAUAAUCAUUUGUUCUUUAAUUGUGAACUAGUAUGAAGGGUUUGAUGAAGAAUAUUCUUUCUUUAUUUAAUUUUGUGAAUUUUAUUUUUAAGUUAAAAAGCUUAGAUUUUUUUAUUAGACGAUAAGACCCUAUAGAACUUUAUUUAUUUUUAUUUGUUAUAUUUUUAGUUUUUGUUUUUAUAAUAUUUAUUUGUUAAUUUUGUUGGGGUGACAUUUAAAUUUUUAUAACUUUAUUUUUUAGGUUUUCAUUUAUUAUUGUAUUUUUGAUCCAGUUUUAUUGAUUAUUAGAUUAAGUUACCUUAGGGAUAACAGCGUUAUUUUAUUGGAGAGCUCUUAUCGAUAAUAAAGUUUGCGACCUCGAUGUUGGAUUAAAAUUAAAUUAUGGUGUAGUAGCUGUAUGUUUAGGUCUGUUCGACCUUUAAAUUUUUACAUGAUCUGAGUUCAACCGG